GACGAACGCUGGCGGCGUGCCUAAUACAUGCCAGUAGAACGCACAGUUUAUACCGUAGCUUGCUACACCAUAAACUGUGAGUUGCGAACGGGUGAGUAACGCGUAGGUAACCUGCCUGGUAGCGGGGGAUAACUAUUGGAAACGAUAGCUAAUACCGCAUAAUAUUGAUUAUUGCAUGAUAAUUGAUUGAAAGAUGCUAUUGCAUCACUACCAGAUGGACCUGCGUUGUAUUAGCUAGUAGGUGAGGUAACGGCUCACCUAGGCGACGAUACAUAGCCGACCUGAGAGGGUGAUCGGCCACACUGGGACUGAGACACGGCCCAGACUCCUACGGGAGGCAGCAGUAGGGAAUCUUCGGCAAUGGACGAAAGUCUGACCGAGCGACGCCGCGUGAGUGAAGAAGGUUUUCGGAUCGUAAAGCUCUGUUGUAAGAGAAGAACGGGUGUGAGAGUGGAAAGUUCACACUGUGACGGUAUCUUACCAGAAAGGGACGGCUAACUACGUG
This 505-nucleotide ribosomal RNA is filed under the name uncultured bacterium. RNAcentral describes it as "partial 16S ribosomal RNA". It matches the Rfam family "Bacterial small subunit ribosomal RNA", at positions 28 to 507 of the family's 1533-position model. The record is from RNAcentral.